UGGGGAAUAUUGCGCAAUGGGCGAAAGCCUGACGCAGCGACGCCGCGUGAGGGAUGAAGGCCUUCGGGUCGUAAACCUCUGUCAGGAGGGAAGAACCGCCAUGGUGCUAAUCAGCCGUGGUCUGACGGUACCUCCAAAGGAAGCACCGGCUAACUCCGUGCCAGCAGCCGCGGUAAUACGGAGGGUGCGAGCGUUAAUCGGAAUCACUGGGCGUAAAGCGCACGUAGGCUGUUUGGUAAGUCAGGGGUGAAAUCCCGCGGCUCAACCGCGGAAUUGCCCUUGAUACUGCUGGACUCGAGUCCGGGAGAGGGUGGCGGAAUUCCAGGUGUAGGAGUGAAAUCCGUAGAUAUCUGGAGGAACAUCAGUGGCGAAGGCGGCCACCUGGACCGGUACUGACGCUGAGGUGCGAAAGCGUGGGGAGCAAACAGG
This 429-nucleotide ribosomal RNA is filed under the name uncultured prokaryote. Its description in RNAcentral is "bacterial SSU rRNA". It matches the Rfam family "Bacterial small subunit ribosomal RNA", at positions 355 to 776 of the family's 1533-position model. RNAcentral also lists the same sequence under 1 other name. The record is from RNAcentral.